RNAcentral lists this ribosomal RNA (380 nucleotides) under uncultured Microcystis sp. Its description in RNAcentral is "bacterial SSU rRNA". It matches the Rfam family "Bacterial small subunit ribosomal RNA", at positions 367 to 762 of the family's 1533-position model. The record is from RNAcentral. Lineage: Bacteria; Bacillati; Cyanobacteriota; Cyanophyceae; Chroococcales; Microcystaceae.
CGCAAUGGGCGAAAGCCUGACGGAGCAACCCCGCGUGAGGGAGGAAGGUCUUUGGAUUGUAAACCUCUUUUCUCAAGGAAGAAGUUUUGGCGGUACUUGAGGAAUCAGCCUCGGCUAACUCCGUGCCAGCAGCCGCGGUAAUACGGGGGAGGCCAGCGUUAUCCGGAAUUAUUGGGGGUAAAGCGUCCGCAGGUGGUCAGCCAAGUUCGCCGUCAAAUCAGGUUGCUUAACGACCUAAAGGCGGUGGAAACUGGCAGACUAGAGAGCCGUAGGGGUAGCAGGAAUUCCCAGUGUAGCGGUGAAAUGCGUAGAGAUUGGGAAGAACCUCGGUGGGGAAAGCGUGCUACUGGGCUGUGUCCGCCACUCGGGGGCGAAAGCUG